GAUGAAGAACGCAGCGAAAUGCGAUAAGUAAUGUGAAUUGCAGAAUUCAGUGAAUCAUCGAAUCCUUGAACGCACAUUGCGCCCGCCAGUAUUCUGGCGGGCAUGCCUGUUCGAGCGUCAUUACAACCCUCAGGCCCCCGGGCCUGGCGUUGGGGAUCGGCAGAAGCCCCCUGUGGGCACACGCCGUCCCUCAAAUACAGUGGCGGUCCCGCCGCAGCUUCCAUUGCGUAGUAGCUAACACCUCGCAACUGGAGAGCGGCGCGGCCAUGCCGUAAAACACCCAACUUCUGAAUGUUGACCUCGAAUCAGGUAGGAAUACCCGCUGAACUUAAGCAUAUCAAUAAGCGGAGGA
This 352-nucleotide unclassified non-coding RNA is filed under the name soil metagenome. Its description in RNAcentral is "partial contains 5.8S ribosomal RNA, internal transcribed spacer 2, and large subunit ribosomal RNA". The stretch from base 1 to 120 matches the Rfam family "5.8S ribosomal RNA", at positions 35 to 154 of the family's 154-position model. The record is from RNAcentral.